UCUAAACCCUAACUCCAAAAAUUCUCUCUCUAGUUCUCACACAGCGGCGGCGGCUGUAAUUUCUCUCACAUCGGUGGUAAUCGGAGGUCAAUCAGAUGGCGUUAACGCCACCGGUGGAACAAAACCGACCACCAGAUAAGCAACAAGUUCAUUAUUCUAACAUUGAUCCACAAACAAAAGAUGAUUUCACAAAUUCGAACUUGCGGCAUGAAGAAACGAGUCAUAUUGCAAUUUCUGUGGAGGAAUUAGAAUGGGCAAGACGAGUCAUGGAUAUAGCGAAUUCUGGUUUGCUUGUAAUUAAAUUAAUGGAAGAAAGGAAAUCUACAUCACAAAAUUUGUCUUCAGCUGAAAACUUAAUAAAUUUCAUCAAUCCCACUAUGGUACUGGGUGGGAUGUUGGUAUUUUUGUUGAUCGAAUUGAUUAUCCGUCAAGUUUUAGAGUAGAAUGAAACUCCAACUACUGGAGGUCUUUCUGUUAGUAAGAAACAGGUUGAAUAAUCAAGUGAGUUUGUCGUCGGAGAUCGCAAAUCGCUAGAUGAGCGAUCUAGUUUUCGAACGAUUUCUUGUGGUGUAAAUGUGGAUUCAAAUAUUGGAGAUUAUUCUCCUUGUCAAGGCAAUCAUCAUACUGAAAAUUUACAGCAAAUGGGAGCCAGAAUAGCCCAACUCCAAAGUUCAGUUGGUGGUAAAGGAGGAACUCCAAUCGAAAUCGAAGAGGAGGAAUGUCAAGAAACGAAUCCAAGAGUUGUAGUUGUUAAAUCUACGGUAAUAUUUGGAAACCUAAUCUGUCACAACAUACUUCUACUAACCUGCAGAUUCAAGAAACAACUUCACAAAAAUAUCGAAGGAAUCUUGUUGAAGAUGCUGCGCAAUAUAUGUUACAAAUUGGAACCAGUUCAUUGUCCAAAGAUUCAGCACAAAAUACUUCAGGAACAGGUCAAGAUGCAGAGGAGUAUUUUCAGGCCUAAUCUUGAUCAACAACUGAAGCAGCAAGUUCAAGGGACUGGUGCAUUUAUACAAGGUCAUGAAUUGAUCCCAAAAUGCUAUAGCAAUGUACUGCAAGUACUAAUGAUGAACGAGUACACACAGGUAAGAUCGUUUCAACUAGCAUGGCUCCUAAUAUUAAUAGUGUGCAAUGUAUAGAUAAGGAGAACGUUGGUCUACCUGAUAUCGAUAAUGUUAAUGUGUGUGCUGCUUCUAAUCCUGCUGUUGUUGUUGACAAACUGAAAGAACAGGUAUUAAGACACGAACGCGCCAAGUAAAAGGUGGGAAUGGGGAUGGUAAUCAGCAUGCAAAUCUUGAUGAGUUCCCUCAAAUUUCAAACAAUUUUACUAGGCAAAAUACUCGGAAUAAGCAGGGUUCUCAGAAUCUAGUUCCUGUUAGAAUGUCCAAUAAUCAAAGUAGUCAACACUUCCCAGAAAAAGGUGAAGAUCAAGAACAUGUUCCCUAUACUGUUAUACAAACGUAUGAAGCUAGACAUAAAAUUAAUUUGUCUAAAACUUCUCCUCUAAUAACGUUUGAGACACCAAAGAUUUUUACGAAGCAAGACCAGCAGUUAUAUUUAGAGCUAAAGAUUUCUUGGUUAAAUGGCCCGAUAAGUGUAAAUAUACUCUAAUCGUUAAGUUUAGUUGUGCAAUGCCUAAAGUGGAACUAAUAAGGCAGAGUUUUAUCAACCAAACACAACUACACAACUAUCAGGUGGAAUUAAAAUUGCCCAUUUCAAUGCUAGACAUGUCUACAUUGAUUUGGAUAAUAAAUUAGACUUUGUAACAGUUUGGACUAAACAAAGAAUGGUUAUUGAGGGCCAGCCUAUGCGUAUUCAAACUUGGACACCUACCUUUAGACCUAUAGAGGAAACACCUAUUGUUCCAGUUUGGAUAGGUCUUUCGGAACUCCCAUGGCAUUGCUAUUAUAAGGAUAUACUUACUGCUAUGCUAUCUCCUAUUGGUAAGGUUUUAUACUUGGACAAUGCUACUGUUAAUAAAACAAGGGGAAGCAUGCAAGAGUUAGAAUCCAACUUGAUCUUAAAAAUGAAAGACCUAAGCAUGUGUGGCUUGGUUAUGAUGAAGAAGAUUUGACCAAAGGUAAGUGGCAAAGUAUUAAGUAUGAGAACUUACCUGACUAUUGUCCAUGUUGCAAACAUCAAGGCCCAUGCUGUUGCAAACAUCAAGGCCCAUCAAGGCCCAUGCUCAAGGACUGCACAACUAAAGCAACAGAUGAGGAAAUUCUAUCAAAGGAAAGAAUUGGAAGCAAUGCAAAAAAGGAAAGCCAAUACAGAACAUAAAGACAAGGAUACUUCGGGUCAUGCUGCAGUUGAAAUACAGCAGGGUAAACAGCCUGCAGAUAACACACAACAAAUGCAGCAGGUUCCAGAAUUUGUUGAUCAAGGUGAAAAAUGGCAGAAGCAAAAAACAAAACUAACUACACAGCCUGCAAGUCCUUCCCAAGACUGUAUGGAAAGCUAAAAUUCUUCAGCAGAAUACUAUGCAAGAUGUACAACAACCAGUCCAAACAGGUAUGCAAAUCAAUGGUCCUACAUCUAACAAUUUUAUUGAAUUAAAUAAGCAGGAACAGAAUACAAUAGGUCAAAUAGAGAAACACAAUGAGGAUUGUGCAACUGUUCCUCUCCAACAAACAGACCAUGUAGGCCAUGCACAAAGUGAAUUAGGUAAAAUUCAAACUAUAGAUGGUAUACCAGGGGAAUGAAAUACAAAGAAAAGGGUUGAUUGAGCAAGAAGGGGAGUGUAGCACUUCAGCUACAGUCCAGCAAUAUGACGAGGAUAACAUAUCACAUUUAACACAGUCUCCUGCAGUAAACAGAUCAAGUCAGCAGCAUGAUAAGAAAAAUCAAACAAAGAGGAAGGCAAUUCACCUCAAGAGAGUAAUAACAAAUCCAAGAAUAGGCUGAGUAAAAAAAGAAAAAAAGCUCUAAAAAAACGACAAGGGAAGGAACAGCAGGGACAAAAAGAAAGAGUUGAAGAAGACGACGAAUAUAGUCAUAUAGCUUUCGAGGAUGAGUAUGAUGAAGAUACUAGAUCCCUGGAAAGUAAUGAAGAUGAAGAGGAAGUUAAAUCCACCUUUCACACUAAAUAUAAAAAAGAUAUUCAAGAUGUUAGAGAUAAACAAGAGUUGUCACCAAGAGGAAGGAAGACAACAAAACAUAUACCAGUUCUAGGAAUAUUGGAAGGCCUCUUGCUAGAUCUAGAAGAAGAGGUCUUUAAUCUUAUUAUUCUGUUAAAAUUCAAAGUAUUCUAUGAUUGCAGGAUGUAUAAGAUUCAGGUUCUUUUAGAAACAUACUAUUUGUAAUGACUAUGUCUUUGAUAUGGUUAUUUAGAUAGAUUCUUUUACUUUCUAUAGAUUUUUCUUGUAAAGGGGAGAGUCUCCCUUGUUUAUGUAUUCUAGUAAUCCAUGUAUUAAGGAAGAGGAGUCCGUAGAUGCUUAGUUUCCUUUUGAAAUAUAAAUUGAUGUAAUAGGGUCUAGUUGAAUAACCUUAGUAGGUCGAUCAACUCAUAACCCAUCUUAGUAUCGGAGGUAUGGUCUAUGCCCCUCUAUGUACUUUUGAUGUUAAGAAAUGAUAAGGCCUGGGGGUGUUGCUCAGACCCUGACCCACCA
This is a long non-coding RNA of Solanum lycopersicum (tomato), 3608 nucleotides long. RefSeq lists it as uncharacterized. Lineage: Eukaryota; Viridiplantae; Streptophyta; Magnoliopsida; Solanales; Solanaceae. The record is from RefSeq and is a predicted model, not a curated record.